This 496-nucleotide long non-coding RNA is filed under the name Carica papaya (papaya). RNAcentral describes it as "long non-coding RNA (CPAP_LNC001002)". The record is from RNAcentral. Lineage: Eukaryota; Viridiplantae; Streptophyta; Magnoliopsida; Brassicales; Caricaceae.
AGAAGACGAACCAGAGGCCGACCGCCGCCACCCGCCGCCGCACCGGGAAAAUUUUCGACCGCCGAUCGAGGUAAAUUUCAUACUCCCGACUCGUUUUUCCACGCUGAUUCCUCCUAUGGCCAAAUCGAGGCCGAAAUCCCGGCCAAACGGCCGGAAUACGCGGCCGAAGCCCAGCGGCGCCGCCGUGCCCCCUCUCAGUUUUUGCCUCCGACGAGGCCCUUCCCGGCCUCCGUUCGAUGCAAUUUUUAUAUCACCGUGAUCACCAUUCUUUUCUCUACAGGUUGACCGGAGCCGAAUCACCAAAACACGAACCUCGCCGGAGAGCCGCCGCACCCGAGAGCGCCGCCGCCGGUAAGCUCCGUUUUUCCGUGAUUUUUUGGCCCCCCGAGGGCCCUAGGGUUGUUUUCUCACAAGGACCGAUGCGAGUGUGGCCGAAUUCGGCCGAAAACGGCCGAAAACAGCCAACCCGAGGCGACUCGCCGCCGCCGUGCCGGAG